RNAcentral lists this small RNA (125 nucleotides) under Marmota monax (woodchuck). Lineage: Eukaryota; Metazoa; Chordata; Mammalia; Rodentia; Sciuridae. The record is from RNAcentral.
GCCAGGUGUGGUGGCGCAUGCCUGUAAUCCCAGUGGCUCAGGAGGCUGAGAUAGGAGGAUUGAAAUUUCAAAGCCAGCCUCAGCAAAAGCAAGGUGUUAAGCAACCCAGUGGGACCCUGUCUCUA